Gouania willdenowi (blunt-snouted clingfish) is the source of this 2952-nucleotide long non-coding RNA. Lineage: Eukaryota; Metazoa; Chordata; Actinopteri; Blenniiformes; Gobiesocidae. The record is from Ensembl.
CUCUGCUAAUUUAUUUCAAACUAAAUAAUGAACAUGUGAUUGAAUGCUGUCAGUCUGACCUGAAUCUAACCUUUUCACUCCAUUUCACACAUGCUUUUCCAUCCAAAGCUUCCCUUUUUCACUAAUAUUUGAACAUUAACCAUAAACCUUUAACCUUUCUUAUUUAUGCUUUCCUGUUGUGAUCUUGUGAUUUUCGUCAGCGGCAGUUUUUGCUCAUCCCUCUGACCCCACAUUAAUAACCCACCGGGUUAAUGAACAACCCUAGAGGAAGAGCCUACCUGACACACCUCCUCAUGUGUUCAAAAGCAAAAAGAUCGCACGGGGACAGACAGAAUAGUUUCCCUUCAGCCUGAAAGUAGCUUUAGUUGAUAGUGUGACUUCCAUUGAGGAAGAGGAGAAGAACAAGAAGAAGGGUGACCAACACGUGGUUUUUGUGCGAUGAUGGUUGUGAGCAGCCAGUUGUGCUCCCUGACCCGUUUGGUUCUGCCCGUUCUGGGCUUCGUGGUGAUCUGCCUGGGGGCGUAUCUGGUGACCCUGCAGAACGACUUCACUUUUCUCGUUAUUCCCGUUUAUGUUUUUGUCAUCGGCGGCUUCCUGUCCAUGUUAAUCGGUGUUUUCUGGAACCUCUGCCACAAUAUGAAGAGCAAGAUGUACCAGAGAGGAAGACAGGAGCACAACCUGCAGGUUUUCACUGUUGAAAGACCGAGCAGCUUUCCUCCAUCCUACGAGGAGUCUCAGGAACGCUGGCUCAGCAGUCCUGAUGAUCCUGCUGAGGUAGUGGUGUCAGUGGAUGGGGUGGACGUCAUGGUAACUGUGGCUCCUCCCCUCUACAGCCAGGACAGCUCAGAGGCUCCAGACUGCAGGUGGAGCUGGGAAAGACCUCCACGCUACAGCCAGGUCCAACGUCCACAACAUCUGGAUGUAGAGGUCACAUCUGGACUCUGAGGAGGACAACCCUGACCUAGGGUCAGAAAGAUGAGGACAUGUUGUUCCUCCUGUCAGGUCAAACUGAGGUCAUAAAAUGCACUUUGAGUUGAAACAAAAAAGGACAAUUACCCAGAAUUCUCUGAGGAGACAGAAGUUGGACUGUUACAAGGGACAAUGAAGCAUGAAAUAUGGUGAAAAGAGGUUAAAAGUGACAAUAAUGGGUCAACAUAUGACAUUAGGUGGAAAAGUGGUGGAAAGGGUUUAAAAGUGCCAAAAAUGUGUUAAAAGUAGAAGAAAAAAAAGUGCAGAAAAGGCAUUGAAAUUUGAUGGUGAAGUGUAGGGAGUAAUGUAGAAAAAAGGCAUUAAAAGAAACAAAAUAUGGCAAGAAAGUGAUCAAAAUAGGUUAAAAUAUUUGUUUGGUGUAGUUACAGAAAAAGGAUUAAAAUGAGGGGAAAAUUGUUCAACAAAAAUUCUCUGUUUCUUCAAGGCAUUUGGCGACCCCCUCCUAGUGUCUCGUGACCCCAAAUGGGAUCCUGACCCCAAGGUUGAGAACCCCUGGUGUAGUGUAAAUUUCUCUCUUGUUUCCACACAGGUGACAAACACACAGGACAUUGUGGCUGUUCAAUCUAUUGCGUAUGCAUAAGAUAGAUGUAUUUGCUGUAUUUGUUUUACAAAAUUAUAUUACAAACAUUGAACCUAAAAGUGUUUUUUUUUCCCUCAUUUUGUAAUUAUUUCUUGUUCCAUAAUAUAAAUUGUCUUGUAUAAGAAGAUUUAAAAGUAUUUCUAGUUUUAUUUCCAGCAUAAUAUUCAUACAAACCCAGCCUGAUGAUGAACAUUUUAUGUUAUAUCAUGCAGUGAAAAUUCUUAUCAUGGACCCAAAUCAUGUUAAAUGUAAUAUUUAGCUUGUUUAUGUUCUGGUGUUUUAUUGUGAUUUAAAUGUCCAUAUCAUGCUAUUGUUCAACCAUCAUCUCCAUUUGUUCUAAGAACCCUAAAAACAUAGUAUUUGAUGGUUUAUUUUACCAAACUCGCCUGUUUUCCAGAGUUUUAGCCUCUGAAAAGUCACUUUCUGAUCAACUUUGCACGAACAGGCUGAUUUGCGGCCUACUUAUGCAUAUUCAUGAGUGGGCGUGUCUAUAGACGGGUCAAUGACUUCCUCCUCCCCGCACGGCGACUAGGGCCAGAGGAUGGCCCGCCCUCCUCCCACCCACUCCGUAGCUGAGCUCAUGCUGCUUUAUAAACAUGACACAGAGCGUGGGGGCGGGGCAUUCACAGGUACAUACAUAGACUGUAGAAAAUACAUACAUAGCACUGCGCGAAGGACGCUGAAAUGCUCACCUUUGUGGGCGUGUCUGUUUACAUGUCAAUGCAGGGAGCUUCCUGGAGGCGUAGCUUCUCCAGCUCAGUGUUGCGUCAAAUUUAUCAUCAAAGUUGGAACGCAUCAUCAAAUAGUAGCGAGGUGUUUGUGCUCCCCCUGCAGUAAGAAAGGAGCAAAUCACCUUCUAACUAACGAUUGAUGGAAUCAAUGAAAAAAGCAUGUUGGGCAUGUGUAUGAAGCCAUAAUAGACCUUUAUCAUGUUUAAAGUACAGAGAAGUCCAUUUACCUUUAGACAUCAACCAACAUCCACCAACAUUAAACCAACAUCAUGGGAACAAAACAAGUUUAGGAAAAUAAUCAACAUCCAAAGCAGAGCAAAACACAUCAGUGAAGAUAAAGAGAUGAAAAGUUCUUCAAUGGUUGAUUCAGUCGUUCCAAGUGAAUCAAAAUAAGAACGUGUUGAACGUGCAGAAGAAAGAGAGAACAGUAGUUUAAGUUUAAGGAAUGAUCAUGUUAUUGGCUGUAAAAUGUCUGAUAAAUCUCAAUUUAUCUGCACCGUAUCCCUCUUUAAAAAAAAAAAAACUACUUACCUUAAGUACUUGCUCCUGUUUAUUUUGUUUUUAUCCUGCUAUACGAACCAAUGCAACAAAGGUCUGUUUAUAUCUAUACUGUAAAGUUUAAAUGACAAUAAAGGAAGUCUGUCUCAUUCA